UGUAUCUUAUCCAUUUACUCGUGUAUCCAAUCUCCCGCCCACUCGCUCUCCCCUCUUCACAACGUAAAAAAACCCUCUCCCACCACACACCAUGGAGCCAAAACCCAUAAAAACAGAGGAAGCGACCAGAAAGAAUAAUAGGAAAUCAAGUCCUCACACAACCGAACCAGCAAGAACGAAGAAAAAAUCAAGGCCCGAACGAAUCGCUGCUUCCAUAUCCACCCUAUUCACUACAAAAAGAGCGACAACGAGCCAUUGAUUACAUCGAUUAAGUCAGGUUUCCUCAAUUAAAUCAUAGGGAGUAACUGUUAAAAGGAGAAUUUAUUGACAGAACUAAGGAGCUUGUUGCAUUAUCUGGAGCUCAUACUCUCGGAAGCAAAGGUUUUGGAAAUCCCGUUGUUUUUGACAAUUCGUAAUACAAAAUUCUCCUAGAGAAGCCAUGGUUGUCUUCAGGUGCUUCACAAGUUUCUUUCUUUUGCCAUCUUGUUUUAAAUCCCAUCCAAUCAUUCCAAGUGAUUUACCAAAUAAGCAGAUGGUUCAUGUCUCCAAGCAACUGCUCAUAACCAAUACCGUCUCAGAGAGAGAUUUCUUAAAAUUAUAGCUAAAAGUGUUGGAGUUAGGUCUGAAUCCAGAAAGGGAAAAUGGCACUUGUAGUUCCAUGUCCCACUAUUGUUUUAAAGGGUUUGCAACACCCCCCUUUCCCAUGAGUAACUUGCUAACUUUCUUAUUAUUGGAUUUAACUCAAGGGAAUGUUCAGGAGCUUUUGAUGCUCCUUUAGGAUGUCAUGGUUCAUUUCUAUCUAGAGGUUCCAAACAGUGUUGGUUUAUCAUAGCAUCUAGACAUUUGCAAUUUAAUUCAGCAACCACAUGGAGAUGCUUCAUUUGACAGAGCAACAAAUAUGCUGGCAGUUUGAAAAUAGCUUAAUGCUAAUACCAUUUUGUGUAUUUUUGAUAGCAUUAUGUUAAACCAAUUUUCCACUGCAAAUUCAUUAUACAGUUUAUAUAAUCGUCAUCAAGCUUCUUCUUGUCAUCAUGUCUAAUUAUAACAAGUAAUUUAUAUGUUAAUUUUAUAUAAUUUUUAUUUGCCAUGGUAGUUCGUAAUAUGGCUACAACAAGGACUCAACGUCAACGCGAACAACAAAAUUUAGGUUUAUUUUGGACAAUGGUCAUACAAGCGAUUAUGAUAUAUAAUGAUAUUAAGCAUUGUGAACAACAUCUCCCUAGAGCUCCACUUACCAAUUGGGAUUCCGAAAGAGAGAUGCCACUUUUAAGAAUGUCUGGCACGAGUGAUACGAUAUGUCAUGAUCUACUUAGGAUGAAAAUAGGUCCGUUUCAAAGAUAAUGUGCUCAUUUGCGAACGUACGGGUUGGUUGAUAGUAAAUUUGUCCGAAUUUAGGAACAACUGGCUAUUUUUCUAAAUACCGUCAGGCAUGAUCAAUGUAAUUGAGCUGGACAUUUUACUUUCUUUCGAUCUAGUCAAACGGUGAGCUUUUACUUCCACAGAGUCUUACACGUUUGUCUUCGACUCUAUAGAGAUGUCGUGAUUAACGUCACUCCUCAUAACUCUCUAUACGAGAAGGAAAAUGUGAAGCCAUAGUACUCAUUUUUUCAGGUUUGAGGUUUGUAUUUAUUUCAUUAUAUCUCUUAGAACUUCAAUAUUAUAAUAUUUCGAAAACUAUUCUUUU
Olea europaea var. sylvestris is the source of this 1684-nucleotide RNA transcript. RefSeq lists it as uncharacterized. NCBI's taxonomy places the organism in Eukaryota, Viridiplantae, Streptophyta, Magnoliopsida, Lamiales, Oleaceae. The record is from RefSeq and is a predicted model, not a curated record. The transcript has 2 exons.